This 1555-nucleotide ribosomal RNA is filed under the name uncultured bacterium. RNAcentral describes it as "bacterial SSU rRNA". It matches the Rfam family "Bacterial small subunit ribosomal RNA". The record is from RNAcentral.
UAGAGUUUGAUCCUGGCUCAGGACGAACGCUGGCGGCGUGCCUAACACAUGCAAGUCGAACGGCCCAGCACUUAACAGAGCGUAUAAGGGAAUGGAUAGUGUAAAGCACAAUAGGUGCAUAUAAGCUGGACAUGAACUAAUAUGCUGCGUUAAGUGCUGGGUAGUGGCGGACGGGUGAGUAACGCGUGGGCAACCAACCCUGUACAGUGGGAUAACACCGGGAAACCGGUGCUAAUACCGCAUGACACCUAGAUAGUGCAUACUAACUAGGUUAAAGGAACUAACCGGUGCAGGACGGGCCCGCGUCCCAUUAGCUAGUUGGUGAGGUAACGGCUCACCAAGGCAACGAUGGGUAGCCGACCUGAGAGGGUGAUCGGCCACACUGGGACUGAGACACGGCCCAGACUCCUACGGGAGGCAGCAGUGGGGAAUAUUGCGCAAUGGGGGGAACCCUGACGCAGCGACGCCGCGUGAGCGAAGAAGGCCUUCGGGUCGUAAAGCUCUGUUCUUGGGGGCGAAGGAAGUGACGGUACCCAAGGAGAAAGCCCCGGCUAACUACGUGCCAGCAGCCGCGGUAAUACGUAGGGGGCAAGCGUUGUCCGGAAUUACUGGGCGUAAAGGGCGUGUAGGCGGCCAUGUAUGUCAGAUGUGAAAUGCCACGGCUUAACCGAGGCACUGCAUAUGAAACUGCAUGGCUUGAGUGCAGGAGAGGGAAGUGGAAUUCCUAGUGUAGCGGUGAAAUGCGUAGAUAUUAGGAGGAACACCAGUGGCGAAGGCGACUUCCUGGACUGUAACUGACGCUGAGGCGCGAAAGCGUGGGUAGCAAACAGGAUUAGAUACCCUGGUAGUCCACGCUGUAAACGAUGGGUACUAGGUGUGGGUAGUUCACUCUAUCCGUGCCGCAGCAAACGCAAUAAGUACCCCGCCUGGGGAGUACGGCCGCAAGGUUGAAACUCAAAGGAAUUGACGGGGGCCCGCACAAGCAGCGGAGCAUGUGGUUUAAUUCGAAGCAACGCGAAGAACCUUACCAGGGCUUGACAUGGCCAUGACGUACCUAGAGAUAGGUAUUUCUUUUACGGACAUGGUCACAGGUGGUGCAUGGUUGUCGUCAGCUCGUGUCGUGAGAUGUUGGGUUAAGUCCCGCAACAAGCGCAACCCUUAUCGCUAGUUGCUAACGUGUAAUGGCGAGCACUCUAGCGAGACUGCCGGGGACAACUCGGAGGAAGGUGGGGAUGACGUCAAAUCAUCGUGCCCCUUAUGUCCUGGGCUACACACGUGCUACAAUGGCCGGAACAGAGGGCAGCUAAGGAGCAAUCCGGAGCAAAUCCCAAAAACCCGGUCUCAGUUCGGAUUGUGGGCUGCAGCCCGCCCACAUGAAGUCGGAGUUGCUAGUAAUCGCGGAUCAGCCUGCCGCGGUGAAUACGUUCCCGGGCCUUGUACACACCGCCCGUCACACUACGAGAGUUUGUAACACCCGAAGUCGGUGGGGUAACCUUUUGGAGCCAGCCGCCUAAGGUGGGACAGAUGAUUGGGGUGAAGUCGUAACAAGGUAACC